UACGUAGGGAGCGAGCGUUGUCCGGAUUUAUUGGGUGUAAAGGGUGCGUAGGCGGCUAUGUAAGUCAGACGUGUAAUGCAGGGGCUUAACCUCUGAACUGCGUUUGAAACUGUGUAGCUUGAGUGGAGUAGAGGCAGAUGGAAUUUCCAGUGUAGCGGUGAAAUGCGUAGAUAUUGGAAGGAACACCAGUGGCGAAGGCGAUCUGCUGGGCUCUAACUGACGCUGAGGCACGAAAGCAUGGGGAGCAAACAGG
RNAcentral lists this ribosomal RNA (253 nucleotides) under uncultured Ruminococcus sp. Its description in RNAcentral is "partial 16S ribosomal RNA". It matches the Rfam family "Bacterial small subunit ribosomal RNA", at positions 524 to 776 of the family's 1533-position model. The record is from RNAcentral. Lineage: Bacteria; Bacillati; Bacillota; Clostridia; Eubacteriales; Oscillospiraceae.